RNAcentral lists this ribosomal RNA (517 nucleotides) under enrichment culture LET-13. Its description in RNAcentral is "bacterial SSU rRNA". It matches the Rfam family "Bacterial small subunit ribosomal RNA", at positions 1009 to 1511 of the family's 1533-position model. Lineage: Bacteria; Pseudomonadati; Bacteroidota. The record is from RNAcentral.
CGGCCGCGGGGUUCCUUGGCCUUGGGUUGGUCGUUCCGGCCUGGUGGUCGUUGGGGUUUGGUUUGGGGUUUCAGGUCCCCCGCCGGCGGCGCGGCAACCCCCCUUUGGUCGCCUAGUUGCCGGCCGGUUGAGUUGGGCACCUUUCGCGAGACUGCCGGUGACAAACCCGGGGGAGGGUGGGGUUGUCGUCAGGUCCUCAUGCCCCUUAUGGGUAGGGCUUCACCCGUCGUCCGAUGGUCGGUCCCGCGGGUUGCCAAGCCGCGAGGUGGCGCUGGUCCCGCGUGGCCGCUCGUCGUCCGGGUCGCAGUCUGCGACUCGACUGCGUGAAGUCGGAAUCGCUGGUAAUCGCAGGUCAGCAUGCUGCGGUGGAUACGUUCCCGGGUCUUGUACACACCGCCCGUCACGCCAUGGGGGUGGGUUUCACCGGAAGUAGGUUGCUUAGCCUUUCGGGGAGGGCGCUUACCACGGUGAGAUUCAUGACUGGGGUGAAGUCGUGACAAGGUGGCCGUAAGUUGGC